ACUCACCAGGUCAGGACACGGUAAGGAUUGACGGACUGAAGGCUCUUUCUCGAUUCCGUGGAAAGUGGUGCAUGGCCGUUUUUGGUUGGUGGAUCGAUCCGUCUGGUUAAUUCCGUUAACGAACGAGACCUCGGCACUCCGAAUAGCGCGGCGGACGUCGCGGCCUCCGGGGCCGUCUUCCGCACGAGCUUCUUAGAGGGACCGUCCCCCGCCGGGGAAGGAGGUGCGAGGCAACGACAGGUCUGUGAUGCCCUUAGAUGUUCUGGGCCGCACGCGCAUUACACUGACGCGUCCAACGGGUGACUCCCGACCCGAAGGGGCCGGGGAAUCCGCAAGGCGCGUCGUGAUGGGGAUUGAACGUUGCAAUUGUUGUUCACGAACGAGGAAUUCCUAGUAGGCGCGGGUCAUCAACCCGCGCCGAUUACGUCCCU
This 431-nucleotide ribosomal RNA is filed under the name uncultured eukaryote. RNAcentral's name for it is "bacterial SSU rRNA". It matches the Rfam family "Eukaryotic small subunit ribosomal RNA", at positions 1213 to 1654 of the family's 1831-position model. The record is from RNAcentral.